AAAUGUGUGGAGCAGGGUGAAAGAUGUAUGGGAGAGGCUGGUGUGUCUCUGUGUGCUGGUUGAGAGUUCAGAACCAUUUUAAGAUUGCCCAGGGCCCUAAGUAGAUUGCCAGUUUGGGUCGUGUGUGUGUGUGUGUUUGAGUCUGAAAGCUGUAUAUGGAAGGCUGAAUGUAAUUGUGUGUGCUGGUUGAGUGUAGUGAUUCAAUGUGUUGUGAUAAAGUGAAGGCAGAG
This is a non-coding RNA of Pelobates cultripes (western spadefoot toad), 230 nucleotides long. NCBI's taxonomy places the organism in Eukaryota, Metazoa, Chordata, Amphibia, Anura, Pelobatidae. The record is from the annotation of a GenBank genome assembly.